Brienomyrus brachyistius is the source of this 5023-nucleotide long non-coding RNA. RefSeq lists it as uncharacterized. The transcript has 2 exons. The record is from RefSeq and is a predicted model, not a curated record. NCBI's taxonomy places the organism in Eukaryota, Metazoa, Chordata, Actinopteri, Osteoglossiformes, Mormyridae.
UUCUGGGGACACCAAACAAAGCGGGCUGCAUUUAGUCAAUAGGGGGCGCUACAAAUGCCUACUUCCAAUAUCUCCUGAACUGCUUUGCCUAUCCAAAGGAAAUUUGGCACAUGUGUACUAUGGCCAAACCUGAGGUCAGACCCGUAAUAUGACAGUCAUAAGUCAUACAAUGGUGGCCAUAAUUAGCCAAUGAAAAUCAAGCAUGCAUUUCACAGGCCUAGCAAUCACCAAUCUCAACUAAAUCUGGAUGAUCCAUGUGACUACAGACCCUGACCUCACCCUGGUAAGAGCACCAUAGUCUGCCAGAUGAGAGCGCUACAGCAACAACUUUUGCCGUUUCUGCCUAUUUCUCCAGAACUGUCAAGCGUACAGUUGACAUUUAUUGCCAAGCCAAUUCAGUAUGUCAAGCCAAAUCAAACAACAUGUAGAACUUAGUUCUCCAUAUUUGCACUUUUGCAUGAUUUAGGUAGGUCUGAUAACAGGACUUUUCGUUAACCUCCUAGAAUUUUCAUCCAACCUACAUGAAUCUGGUAUCAUUCAAAUCAGGAGACCGUCCUCAUAAAUAAUUACUCAAAAAAUCCUAAAGUUUCUGUAUUUAUUUUGCCAUACAGGUGGCACGCCCAUUUCAAUCAGACAGCUGUAUCUCAGGCCUGUCUCAGCCAAUCACUACCAAACUUGAAUAAAUCCUGUUAGGACAGUAGUGGGUGUAGGCCCUCCAAAUCUGGUGCCAAACGGUCAAACGGGGGUGGCACAGCAAUUUAACAUGUGUCUCUAAACCUGCAAAAUCAGUGAAACUGACAUUUUCCUCAUUCUGUUCUACUGACAUAUUAAUAGUCAAAAUCCUUUGUACUGCAAGUUCUGUGAGUCCUGCCAAAUCAAGAUAUAUGUACUGUCCAAUGACAGUGAUUUGCAUUCCGUCAUGAUGUUUAAAAACUCAAUAAAUGCCAUAUUCCUACAAUGUACACCCCACCUAGGUCAUUCUGGUCUCAGGUCAAUUAUGACACUGCCCUUAUGGAUGAUUCAUAAAAAUAACUUGACCUGCCUGUACAGUAUGGCCACCAGCCACAACCAACCCUGCACCAUUUCCAUACUCAUUUCAAUCAGGUGUCUUUAUCUCAGGCAUGCUUCAACCAAUCCUCACCAAAUUUGACCGACUAAUGUAGCACGAGACCACAAACAGACCCUCCAUGUUUGGUGCCAAUCGGUCAAACAGAGGCGCUAAGGCCACUGUCUAUAAAUGUCUAACACCCACCAUAGCAAAUUCAGCUGAAAUGUCCUUAUUUCUCAUAGAACCUUCAAUGAUACUUCAGGCUGUGUACACUGCAGCAAUUGGAAUUUUUAAAUAAAUUGGCCAGCAGGUGGAGUCAGUGCACCAUUUAUAAAAUUCAAUUCAAUACUAUCAGCCGUCCUCUUGUCUAAAUGAACAGCCUAGAACAGGAUACAGCAUGAUAUUACUGCUGUUACAUGCAGCAGUCCCGCAACUCAGCACUUUGUUAAUAAUAUACAACACAGCCUAUGUUUACACAAGCAGUAUAAACAAAGCAACCCUGUAAGAUCUAGACUUAUCAGACCAGGUAUGAAGGUGCCUAAAUCUACCAACUAGUCAGACCAUCAGACGCCUAACCAUGCAUUCAGUCAAGCUCAGGCACUCCACCACUGGGUUCUACAUUCUGUCCUACAUUUGCUGACCUUUUAGACCAACACUCAACAAUCUCCAUCCUCAUUUCUACCUACUAUUCAGACUAUCUGACCCAAACAAGUCCUGUUCUGUCGGACAUCUGCUGACCUAUAGUUCUGUUUGACUUUCUAGUACGCUCCUCUACUGUUUGUCCUACCAAGAUGACCAUCUUACGCUUUGGACCCGUUCCUUACUGCCUGCAGUUAUAUUUUGAUUUGUGUUUUUACUAUCAUUCUUUAUAUUAGGUCUUGACAAUCAGUAGGUUAAGAUAUGCAUUGUUGUCAUGACCUCGAGAGGUUCUGGCAUGGGGGCGAGGGAUUUAUUAACAAAAACCAAAAACACGGAGAACACUACAAAACAAAAAGGACCACUAAAGUAACUAAGAGAACAAAAUGAUCUACAAAGUGAAACUAGCUGCACAGGAACAGGCAGGGAUUAAAAACAUCAGAAACCACUGGCAGAAAGAACAUCAGCAGCACCAAGAACAAUAGCAACAGCAAGAACAUCAGCAGCACCAAGAACAUCACCAAGAAGAUUAGCAGCAGCAAGAACAUCAGCAGCAACAAAGAACAUCAGCAGCAGCAAAAACAUCUGCAGUAGCAAAGAACAUCAGCAAGAAAAUCAGCAGCAACAAGAACAUCAGCAGCAGCAAGAACAUCAGCAGCAACAAGAACAUCCGCAGCAGCAAAGAACAUCAUCAGCAGCAAAUAACAUCAGCAAGAAGAUCAGCAGUAGCAAAUAACAUCAGCACAGAACAUCCGCAGCAACAAAGAACAUCAGCAAGAACAUCCGCAGCAGCAAAUAACAUCAGCACAGAACAUGAGCAGCAGCAAAGAACAUCAGCAAGAAAAUCAACAGCAGCAAGAACAUCCGCAGCAGCAAGAACAUCUGCAGCAGCAAAUAACAUCAGUAAGAUCAACAGCAGCAAAUAACAUCAGCACAGAACAUGAGCAGCAGCAAAGAACAUCAGCAAGAAAAUCAACAGCAGCAAGAACAUCAGCAGCAGCAAGAACAUCCGCAGGAACAAGAACAUCCGCAGCAGCAAGAACAUCAGCAGCAACAACAAAUAUAGUGAUUUUAUUUUUUAUCAUCUUAUUUUUUAUCUUUAUAUUUUUUAUCAUUUUUUUUUCUCUUAGCUUAUUUGAAUUAUUUUAAUUUAUUUCAUAUUAUCAUUCUUCUUAUCAGGUCUUUCCUUUUUGAUUAAUAAAAAUAUGGGAGGAAUCCACUGAAAUAUAGGGACAGCAAGUCCAUGCACACAAUGUUGGGGUCGGUAAGGAUCCCGUGAUAUUGCAGCUGCAAAGUAAAAUCACUAGAUACUAAAACGCGGCAGCGGAGCCCCAGACAUUCACCAUGUCCAACUGAACUUUUCUAAGACAAAGCAGAACAUUUGGUACUCAAUCAGACGAAAUACGCCAAAGAUACAACUUCGUUUGUCUUCAUUGGCUCCAUAUAUAUAGGCGCUUGCAACAUGAUUAGUUUAAUGAAACAGCACCUACCGGCAUUCGAUCCCUCGAUGGUCAGCAUGCCAACCUCACCCGCUGAUCCUAAUGUCUUCUGUUUGAGUCCAAUGUCCCGAUCCAGUCAUGGAUAUAGCCCACAGCACAGCUCACAUACUUUUUCCAUCUUCAUCCGAUCCGUUCAAAACUAAGAAGUCUGGUAUUCAGUCAGCCCAAACGCUCCAAUGAUACACCGUACCUUGUCUCUCUUCACUGACUCUCUGUAGAUGCUGGCACCAAGUUCAGAGUAAUGGAAUAGCACCUAACUAUAAGUACUUCCACCCACCUACUGUACGUCCUGUCCCUCUGUGGCCAGAGGACCGCGUGACGUAGAAGUUCUAGAACUGCGUCAACACAGCUGCCCUUCAUAUCGCGAUUAAACCCGAUAGCCAAUGAGAAACGGGAUUACGUAAGUACAGGGUAAACUUGCAAAAUAUACACGUUACACCGCCCUUUCAAAUAAAAACGGAAAUGCGGUCCACAUGUAAGUUUAAUUUACCACUGCUUUGACCACGCAAUUGUUAGCUAAAUAUAAACAUGGGUCGCUUAGAGAUUUACAAAAAAGCUGUACUAACCAGUAAAAGUAAUUUUCGUAGCAGCAGCUAGUCGCCUUACUAAUCGUUACCUCCCACUUAUUUUCAUCUAUUUACUAUUUUGCAUAAAAAGAGAGAUCGGAAUCAUUUGAAACUAAGCAUCCAAUCAGAAUCCCCGGUCCCACUCUGUGUUCCGGUGUCUUGUAUUUCCUAAGUCCCGUAUUUCUUUAGAUUGAAGGUAACAUCCCUACUAAUAGUAAUUGUUCUGUUAUCAUUGUAUUACAUUGAAUUAAUUAGAAUAUAUUAGCUGUGAAAGUUUAUUCCUUUGCUCUUUAGACGUCUAAUUCAAAACAAUGCGCCUGCGAAUAGGUCCUUGUUUAAUGAUGUCAUGGGUAGGAGCUCAAAUUGUUGUAGUCACGACGUAGGGACUCGAGUUGUCCGUCUUUUACAGCUUGUUAGUCUUUGAAGGGAUUAUUUGUAUCGUAGCGCCGGCUGGGCGCAUGUCCCAGCAUGCCUCGCAUGCAAGUUCUUUUCCAGCACUGGAAUGAAAAUGAUGCAAAACUUAAUUAAAGCAGAUGUUCAGUGAACAGCUGUUGCCAUCCCACCAGCAGGGGGCAGGACUGCCCCUCAUCAUAUCAAGCAAUGCAGUGUGAGGCUUCCUAUGCAGCUUGCGUGCUCCCUCCCUCUCCCCCUUGGCUUUGUUCAGCCAUUUACUUUGUGUUUCUGUGGCUGUGUGUUUUGCUUCUUUCAGCUGGUUUUAGGAUCUAAACUGGUCAAAGACCAUGGUAUGGCUGCUUAAGAAAGCUCACCAAAGCCUACUCUUUAUGUGGAGGCUGAAGAAAUUUGGCAUGUUGCUGACAGUCCUAGGCAGCUUCUACAGGUGCACAGUGGAGAGCAUAUUAAUCUGCUGCAUAGCUGUGUGCUUUGGCAGCUGCGCUGGACAGGACAGACAGGCACUGCAGUGGGUGAUCAUGUUAGCUCAGAAAAUCACAGGGUUAGGUCUCCCUUCACUGCAGGACAUCUGUGACAGGAGAAUCUGCAGAUGGGCCAGCAGCAUUGUCAGCAGUCUCACCCACCUCACCCAACUAAUCGUCACUCUCAUGAAACCUGUAAAGGAGUGUUAAUACCACAACACCCAGACUCCAGAACAGUCUGUACCCCCAGGCCAACAGAAGGAUCAAGUACUGCCACCCUCUGCCAGCUGUGCCCCCACCCCAGGCACUAUGGCAAUGAUCACCCAGCUUGCAGCACUCUGCACCUUACAUGCAUUUGUUGGAGUUUGUGUUAAGCAAAUAAAUGCCUUUUUCUUAAACCAA